Xenopus tropicalis (tropical clawed frog) is the source of this 123-nucleotide small nuclear RNA. Its record names the gene U2. It matches the Rfam family "U2 spliceosomal RNA". Rfam says of the family: U2 is a small nuclear RNA (snRNA) component of the spliceosome (involved in pre-mRNA splicing). The record is from Ensembl. Lineage: Eukaryota; Metazoa; Chordata; Amphibia; Anura; Pipidae.
ACUGCUUCUCGGCCUUUUGGCUAAGAUCAAGUGUAGUAUUUGUUCUUGGCGUGGGGGGGGAUGCUUGCUAAGCUAAGGGAUGCAUGUAGUUGCCCCUCCUCACCGCUGGGCGGAGAACCACUU